Molecule: ribosomal RNA, 433 nt
Filed under: uncultured bacterium
Lineage: Bacteria
Description: partial 16S ribosomal RNA
Rfam family: Bacterial small subunit ribosomal RNA
Source: RNAcentral
AACGAACGCUGGCGGCAUGCCUAACACAUGCAAGUCGAACGAGACCUUCGGGUCUAGUGGCGCACGUGUGCGUAACGCGUGGGAACCUGCCCUUAGGUUCGGAAUAACUCCCCGAAAGGGGUGCUAAUACCGGAUAAUGUCUUCGGACCAAAGAUUUAUCGCCUUUGGAUGGGCCCGCGUUGGAUUAGCUAGUUGGUAGGGUAAAAGCCUACCAAGGCGACGAUCCAUAGCUGGUCUGAGAGGAUGAUCAGCCACACUGGGACUGAGACACGGCCCAGACUCCUACGGGAGGCAGCAGUGGGGAAUAUUGGACAAUGGGCGAAAGCCUGAUCCAGCAAUGCCGCGUGAGUGAUGAAGGCCUUAGGGUUGUAUAGCUCUUUUACCCGGGAUGAUAAUGACAGUACCGGGAGAAUAAGCUCCGGCUAACUCCGUG